RNAcentral lists this ribosomal RNA (878 nucleotides) under uncultured bacterium. Its description in RNAcentral is "bacterial SSU rRNA". It matches the Rfam family "Bacterial small subunit ribosomal RNA", at positions 8 to 872 of the family's 1533-position model. The record is from RNAcentral.
AGAGUUUGAUCCUGGCUCAGGACGAACGCUGGCGGCGCGCUUAACACAUGCAAGUCGAGCGAGAACCAGUCCUUCGGGGCUGGGGACAGCGGCGAACGGGUGAGUAACACGUGAGUAAUCCACCCUUGGUACCGGGAUAGCCCGGGGAAACUCGGAUUAAUACCGGAUGGCCCAUCAGCUUUUCGGAGCGGAUGGAAAAGGUAGCUUCGGCCUCCGACCAAAGACGAGCUCGCGGCGGAUUAGCUUGUUGGCGGGGUAACGGCCCACCAAGGCGACGAUCCGUAGCUGGUCUGAGAGGACGAUUAGCCACACUGGGACUGAGACACGGCCCAGACUCCUACGGGAGGCAGCAGUGGGGAAUCUUGCGCAAUGGGCGAAAGCCUGACGCAGCGACGCCGCGUGAGGGAAGAAGGCCUUCGGGUUGUAAACCUCUUUCAGGAGGGACGAAGCCACUCGGGUUAAUAGCCCAGAGGGUGACGGUACCUCCAGAAGAAGCCCCGGCUAACUACGUGCCAGCAGCCGCGGUAAUACGUAGGGGGCAAGCGUUGUCCGGAUUUAUUGGGCGUAAAGAGCGUGUAGGCGGUUUUACAGGUCCGCUGUGAAAACUCGAGGCUCAACCUCGAGCUGUCGGUGGAAACCGUAAGGCUAGAGUCCGGAAGAGGAGAGUGGAAUUCCUGGUGUAGCGGUGAAGUGCGCAGAUAUCAGGAAGAACACCCGUGGCGAAGGCGGCUCUCUGGGACGGUACUGACGCUGAGACGCGAAAGCGUGGGGAGCGAACAGGAUUAGAUACCCUGGUAGUCCACGCCGUAAACGAUGGGUGCUAGGUGUGGGGGGUGUCGACUCCCCCCGUGCCGAAGCUAACGCAUUAAGCACCCCGC